GUGGGGAAUUUUGGACAAUGGGCGCAAGCCUGAUCCAGCAAUGCCGCGUGCAGGAAGAAGGCCUUCGGGUUGUAAACUGCUUUUGUACGGAACGAAACGGUCCUGGCUAAUAUCCGGGGCUAAUGACGGUACCGUAAGAAUAAGCACCGGCUAACUACGUGCCAGCAGCCGCGGUAAUACGUAGGGUGCGAGCGUUAAUCGGAAUUACUGGGCGUAAAGCGUGCGCAGGCGGUUUUGUAAGACAGGCGUGAAAUCCCCGGGCUCAACCUGGGAAUUGCGCUUGUGACUGCAAGGCUGGAGUGCGGCAGAGGGGGAUGGAAUUCCGCGUGUAGCAGUGAAAUGCGUAGAUAUGCGGAGGAACACCGAUGGCGAAGGCAAUCCCCUGGGCCUGCACUGACGCUCAUGCACGAAAGCGUGGGGAGCAAACAGGAUUAGAUACCCUGGUAGUCC
This 450-nucleotide ribosomal RNA is filed under the name uncultured bacterium. RNAcentral describes it as "bacterial SSU rRNA". It matches the Rfam family "Bacterial small subunit ribosomal RNA", at positions 354 to 796 of the family's 1533-position model. The record is from RNAcentral.